CGAUGGUAGGAUAGAGGCCUACCAUGGUGGUAACGGGUAACGGGGUGUUAGGGCACGACACCGGAGAGGGAGCCUGAGAAACGGCUACCACAUCCUAGGAUGGCAGCAGGCGCGCAAAUUACCCAAUCCCGACACGGGGAGGUAGUGACAAUAAAUAACAAUACGGGGUUCUUUCGGAUUUCGUAAUUGGAAUGAGUACAAUUUAAAUCUCUUAACGAGGAACAAUUGGAGGGCAAGUCUGGUGCCAGCAGCCGCGGUAAUUCCAGCUCCAAUAGCGUAUAUUAAAGUUGCUGCAGUUAAAAAGCUCGUAGUUGAAUUUCGGGACUAAUAUGUCGGUCGUGCCUCGGUACGUACUGGCUUAUUGGUUUCUCCUUUCUGAAGAACCAUGAUGUCAUUUAUUUGGUGUCGUGGGGAAUCAGGACUGUUACUUUGAAAAAAUUAGAGUGUUUAAAGCAGGCUCACGCUUGAAUACAUUAGCAUGGAAUAAUGAAAUAGGACGUUUGAUUCUAUUUUGUUGGUUUCUAGGAUCGACGUAAUGAUUAAUAGGGAUAGUUGGGGGCAUUAGUAUUCAAUUGUCAGAGGUGAAAUUCUUGGAUUUAUUGAAGACUAACUACUGCGAAAGCAUUUGCCAAGGAUGUUUUCAUUAAUCAAGAACGAAAGUUAGGGGAUCGAAGACGAUCAGAUACCGUCGUAGUCUUAACCAUAAACUAUGCCGACUAGGGAUCGGAUGAUGUUAAUUUUUUAAUGACUCANUCGGCGCCUUA
Molecule: ribosomal RNA, 764 nt
Filed under: uncultured Glomus
Lineage: Eukaryota; Fungi; Glomeromycota; Glomeromycetes; Glomerales; Glomeraceae
Description: SSU rRNA
Rfam family: Eukaryotic small subunit ribosomal RNA
Source: RNAcentral